CAUUAAACCAUGAAUAACAUUAGGUGUUUAACCCAUGAAUAACAGUAGGUGUAUAAACCAUUAAACCAUGAAUAACAGUAGGUGUUUAACCCAUGAAUAACAGGUGUAUAAACCAUUAAACCAUGAAUAACAGUUGGUGUAUAAACCAUUAAACCAUGAAUAACAGUAGGUGUUUAAACCAUGAAUAACAGGUGUAUAAACCAUUAAACCAUGAAUAACAGGAGGUGUUUAAACCAUGAAUAACAGUAGGUGUAUAAACCAUUAAACCAUGAAUAACAGUAGGUGUAUAAACCAUUAAACCAUGAAUAACAGGUGUAUAAACCAUUAAACCAUGAAUAACAUUAGGUGUAUAAACCACUAAACCAAAGAUUCAGUGCAAUCAAAAAAUGAAACUGAGUACAAAAGAGAAAUGUUUCACAAACUGGAGAUGACAGAAAGUCACUUGUCUAUUUAGGUUUAUGUUGUUCAGUGGUUUGGCUUGCACAAGGGUGGUAACUGCGGACAGAUGGUAUGAGGCAAAUAAGCAGCUGCUUCAGCCAACCCAAAGGGGUUUUCAGUUCUUUGAAGAGUUUUCCUUGGGGGACAUAUAUGUUUUUUAUGCUGUUGAAAAUGUACUGUGAAAGUUGAAACAAUGUUUUAAUACAAAUAUUGUAGAAUAAAAAAUACUCUUUAUUCUUUAUUUGUUACACAGCCUCCAACCACCCAGAGUUAUUUCCUACCUCUUCUGAAAAAAACUGAAAGUACGCAUCGCCAUGUCUGGAAACUGAUGUAUGAUUGUUGUGUUUCACGCUGUGAUUCUAAAUUUGUAAAGCAACACAUUGCAUCUGCAUGUAUGAUACAUUGUAUAUGUCUUUAUGAAAGUGUAAUGUA
Haliotis rubra (blacklip abalone) is the source of this 870-nucleotide long non-coding RNA. RefSeq lists it as uncharacterized. The record is from RefSeq and is a predicted model, not a curated record. NCBI's taxonomy places the organism in Eukaryota, Metazoa, Mollusca, Gastropoda, Lepetellida, Haliotidae. The transcript has 3 exons.